ACGGGAGGCAGCAGUGGGGAAUAUUGCACAAUGGGGGAAACCCUGAUGCAGCGAUGCCGCGUGAAGGAUGAAGUUCUUCGGAAUGUAAACUUCUAUCAGCAAGGAAGAAAAUGACGGUACCUGACUAAGAAGCACCGGCUAAAUACGUGCCAGCAGCCGCGGUAAUACGUAUGGUGCAAGCGUUAUCCGGAUUUACUGGGUGUAAAGGGAGCGUAGACGGCAUAGCAAGCCAGAUGUGAAAUGCGGGGGCUCAACCCCUGAACUGCAUUUGGAACUGUUAAGCUAGAGUAUCGGAGAGGUAAGUGGAAUUCCUAGUGUAGCGGUGAAAUGCGUAGAUAUUAGGAGGAACACCAGUGGCGAAGGCGGCUUACUGGACGAUAACUGACGUUGAGGCUCGAAAGCGUGGGGAGCAAACAGGAUUAGAUACCCUGGUA
RNAcentral lists this ribosomal RNA (434 nucleotides) under uncultured Lachnospiraceae bacterium. RNAcentral's name for it is "bacterial SSU rRNA". It matches the Rfam family "Bacterial small subunit ribosomal RNA", at positions 341 to 792 of the family's 1533-position model. The record is from RNAcentral. Lineage: Bacteria; Bacillati; Bacillota; Clostridia; Lachnospirales; Lachnospiraceae.